Non-coding RNA from Odocoileus virginianus texanus, 1570 nucleotides. Lineage: Eukaryota; Metazoa; Chordata; Mammalia; Artiodactyla; Cervidae. The record is from RefSeq and is a predicted model, not a curated record.
CGACCUUCCCAGCUCGGCUGGCGACGCUCUAGUCGCCCUUUCUCUGAGGCCCGCCGGCGGCCACUGAGCUGUGAGCGCAAGGCCUGCCUCCCUGCGCACAGCCUGCGGGUCCGGGUCAUGGCACGACUCCCGAAACUCGCAGUCUUCGAUCUAGAUUACACGCUCUGGCCGUUCUGGGUGGACACGCACGUAGACCCCCCGUUCCACAAGAGCAGUGAUGGAACUGUACGAGAUAGGCGGGGCCAGAGCAUCCAACUGUACCCUGAGGUGCCUGCGGUCCUGGAACGAUUGCGGGGCCUGGGAGUGCCCAUCGCGGCCGCUUCACGGACAGGUGAGGUUGAAGGAGCCAACCAGCUGCUGGAGCUCUUUGACCUUGUCAGAUACUUUGUUCAUCGGGAAAUCUAUCCAGGCAGCAAAGUCACGCACUUUGAGAGGUUGCAGCGAAAGACUGGAGUUCCUUUCUCCCAGAUGAUCUUCUUUGAUGAUGAGAAGAGGAACAUCGUAGAUGUCAGCAAACUGGGUACUAAGUGGUGUUACCUGCAUUCAUGUCCAGCAUGGAAUGAGCCUUCAAACCCUAACUCAAGGAUUAGAUGCAUUCACAAAGGCCCAAGCUGGACUCUGAGGUCCAGUCAUUUGAGGAACAGAACUGAAAGGAAAUCAGGAGGGCAUUUUCAGGAAAGAAGGAGAAGGCACCAACCCCUGAAGAGGCAAUACAGAAACUGAAGGAGACGGAGAAGAUACUGAUCAAGAAACAGGAAUUUCUGGAGCAGAAGAUUGAACAGGAGCUACAAACUGCCAAGAAGCAUGGGACCAAGAACAAGAGAGCCGCCCUACAGGCUUUGCGGAGGAAGAAAAGGUUGGAACAGCAGCUGGCACAAACCGACGGGACAUUAUCCACCCUGGAGUUUCAGCGUGAGGCCAUUGAGAAUGCCACCACCAAUGCAGAAGUGCUUCGUACCAUGGAGCUUGCUUCCCAAGGCUUGAAGAAGGCCUACCAGGACAUGGACAUUGACAAGGUAGAUGAACUGAUGGCUGACAUCACAGAACAACAGGAGGUGGCCCAGCAGAUCUCAGAUGCCAUUUCUCGGCCUGUGGGCUUUGGAGAUGACGUGGAUGAGGAUGAACUGCUGGAGGAGCUGGAGGAGCUGGAGCGGGAGGAACUGGCCCAAGAGCUGUUAGAUGUGGGUGACAAGGAGGAGGAGCCCCCAGUCACACUGCCCAGUGUACCCGCUACACAUCUGCCUGCAGAGCCAGCUCCCAAAGCGGAUGAAGAUGAAGCAGCCCUAAAGCAGCUGGCUGAGUGGGUGUCCUGAUGAGUCUGGGCUUGUCAGCCUAACGCUGCCUUUGUUGCUCUCUUUUCCUUAAGUGCCAAAUGCUGAGCUAAAGGAACAUGGCCUUGUUGGGAGGUGGUCCUGGCUGAGGGUGGUGGUGUGACCCUGCCUGAGAAAAGGGUCUGUGGCCCUCCCUUCCCUGGCUCAACUAUGAAGAAGGAUUGGUACAGAAAGAGCCACUGGGCUCCCAUGGAUAGCAUUACAGUGCCCUCAUUCCCAAUAAAACUGGGCGGAUGGAA